GACGAACGCUGGCGGCGUGCUUAACACAUGCAAGUCGAACGGAAAGGCCCUGCUUUUGUGGGGUGCUCGAGUGGCGAACGGGUGAGUAACACGUGAGUAACCUGCCCUUGACUUUGGGAUAACUUCAGGAAACUGGGGCUAAUACCGGAUAGGAGCUCCUGCUGCAUGGUGGGGGUUGGAAAGUUUCGGCGGUUGGGGAUGGAAUCGCGGCUUAUCAGCUUGUUGGUGGGGUAGUGGCUUACCAAGGCUUUGACGGGUAGCCGGCCUGAGAGGGUGGCCGGCGACAUUGGGACUGAGAUACGGCCCAGACUCCUACGGGAGGCAGCAGUGGGGAAUAUUGCGGAGUGGGCGGAAGCCUGAUGCAGCAGCGCCGCGUGCGGGAUGACGGCCUUCGGGUUGUAAACCGCUUUCGCCUGUGACGAAGCGUGAGUGACGGUAAUGGGUAAAGAAGCACCGGCUAACUACGUG
Molecule: ribosomal RNA, 468 nt
Filed under: uncultured bacterium
Lineage: Bacteria
Description: partial 16S ribosomal RNA
Rfam family: Bacterial small subunit ribosomal RNA
Source: RNAcentral